This 231-nucleotide ribosomal RNA is filed under the name uncultured bacterium. RNAcentral's name for it is "partial 16S ribosomal RNA". It matches the Rfam family "Bacterial small subunit ribosomal RNA", at positions 524 to 752 of the family's 1533-position model. The record is from RNAcentral.
UACGUAGGGUGCGAGCGUUGUCCGGAAUUACUGGGCGUAAAGGGCUCGUAGGUGGUUUGUCGCGUCGUCUGUGAAAUUCCGGGGCUUAACUCCGGGCGUGCAGGCGAUACGGGCAUAACUUGAGUACUGUAGGGGUAACUGGAAUUCCUGGUGUAGCGGUGAAAUGCGCAGAUAUCAGGAGGAACACCGAUGGCGAAGGCAGGUUACUGGGCAGUUACUGACGCUGGAGGA